UUUUAUCUUUUGAGGAGAAUAAUGGGGGU
Molecule: non-coding RNA, 29 nt
Filed under: Rattus norvegicus (Norway rat)
Lineage: Eukaryota; Metazoa; Chordata; Mammalia; Rodentia; Muridae
Source: RNAcentral